This 835-nucleotide ribosomal RNA is filed under the name Micromonospora sp. IM-6945. Its description in RNAcentral is "bacterial SSU rRNA". It matches the Rfam family "Bacterial small subunit ribosomal RNA", at positions 38 to 889 of the family's 1533-position model. The record is from RNAcentral. Lineage: Bacteria; Bacillati; Actinomycetota; Actinomycetes; Micromonosporales; Micromonosporaceae.
GGCGGCGUGCUUAACACAUGCAAGUCGAGCGGAAAGGCCCUUCGGGGUACUCGAGCGGCGAACGGGUGAGUAACACGUGAGCAACCUGCCCUAGGCUUUGGGAUAACCCUCGGAAACGGGGGCUAAUACCGAAUACGACCUUUGAUCGCAUGAUGGGUGGUGGAAAGUUUUUCGGCCUGGGAUGGGCUCGCGGCCUAUCAGCUUGUUGGUGGGGUGAUGGCCUACCAAGGCGACGACGGGUAGCCGGCCUGAGAGGGCGACCGGCCACACUGGGACUGAGACACGGCCCAGACUCCUACGGGAGGCAGCAGUGGGGAAUAUUGCACAAUGGGCGGAAGCCUGAUGCAGCGACGCCGCGUGAGGGAUGACGGCCUUCGGGUUGUAAACCUCUUUCAGCAGGGACGAAGCGUAAGUGACGGUACCUGCAGAAGAAGCGCCGGCCAACUACGUGCCAGCAGCCGCGGUAAGACGUAGGGCGCGAGCGUUGUCCGGAUUUAUUGGGCGUAAAGAGCUCGUAGGCGGCUUGUCGCGUCGACUGUGAAAACCCGCAGCUCAACUGCGGGCCUGCAGUCGAUACGGGCAGGCUAGAGUUCGGUAGGGGAGACUGGAAUUCCUGGUGUAGCGGUGAAAUGCGCAGAUAUCAGGAGGAACACCGGUGGCGAAGGCGGGUCUCUGGGCCGAUACUGACGCUGAGGAGCGAAAGCGUGGGGAGCGAACAGGAUUAGAUACCCUGGUAGUCCACGCUGUAAACGUUGGGCGCUAGGUGUGGGGGGCCUCUCCGGUUCCCUGUGCCGCAGCUAACGCAUUAAGCGCCCCGCCUGGGGAGUACGGCCGC